This 625-nucleotide ribosomal RNA is filed under the name Bacillus sp. enrichment culture clone PM10b. RNAcentral describes it as "bacterial SSU rRNA". It matches the Rfam family "Bacterial small subunit ribosomal RNA", at positions 62 to 662 of the family's 1533-position model. The record is from RNAcentral. Lineage: Bacteria; Bacillati; Bacillota; Bacilli; Caryophanales; Bacillaceae.
CCGGAGCCGCAAUGGAUUAAGAGCUUGCUGCUUAUCGAAGUUAGCGGCGGACGGGUGAGUAACACGUGGGUAACCUGCCCAUAAGACUGGGAUAACUCCGGGAAACCGGGGCUAAUACCGGAUAACAUUUUGAACCGCAUGGUUCGAAAUUGAAAGGCGGCUUCGGCUGUCACUUAUGGAUGGACCCGCGUCGCAUUAGCUAGUUGGUGAGGUAACGGCUCACCAAGGCAACGAUGCGUAGCCGACCUGAGAGGGUGAUCGGCCACACUGGGACUGAGACACGGCCCAGACUCCUACGGGAGGCAGCAGUAGGGAAUCUUCCGCAAUGGACGAAAGUCUGACGGAGCAACGCCGCGUGAGUGAUGAAGGCUUUCGGGUCGUAAAACUCUGUUGUUAGGGAAGAACAAGUGCUAGUUGAAUAAGCUGGCACCUUGACGGUACCUAACCAGAAAGCCACGGCUAACUACGUGCCAGCAGCCGCGGUAAUACGUAGGUGGCAAGCGUUAUCCGGAAUUAUUGGGCGUAAAGCGCGCGCAGGUGGUUUCUUAAGUCUGAUGUGAAAGCCCACGGCUCAACCGUGGAGGGUCAUUGGAAACUGGGAGACUUGAGUGCAGAAGAGGAAAGU